Molecule: long non-coding RNA, 327 nt
Filed under: Carica papaya (papaya)
Lineage: Eukaryota; Viridiplantae; Streptophyta; Magnoliopsida; Brassicales; Caricaceae
Description: long non-coding RNA (CPAP_LNC003137)
Source: RNAcentral
GAUCUCGAUCGUCCGAUCGUGUUUAAAGAGAAAAUGAAUUUGUACCAUUCAUUGCAAUUUGACCUGGAUCGUAUGAUCGCGUUUAAAGAGGGAACGAAUAUGUACCAUUCAUUAUGUUUAAUCGCGACCGUCUAAUCGUACCUGAGGAGGGAACAGAUCUGAACCGUCCACAUGCACGGGAACAAAUCCGGACUGUCGAUCGCAGGCACGCAGAUUGCCAGCGUGACCUCCCGUGUGACACCGAGUUAGCGUGCCUUGCCACGCGGCACGCUUUGGUUCGUCGAGGAUACUGACUGUGCAGUUCUAUGUGGUAUAUUUUUCUUAAAU